CGGAGGGUGCAAGCGUUAUCCGGAUUCACUGGGUUUAAAGGGUGCGUAGGAGGGCAGGGAAGUCAGUGGUGAAAUCUCCGGGCUUAACUCGGAAACUGCCGUUGAUACUCUCUGUCUUGAAUCCCGUGGAGGUGAGCGGAAUAUGUCAUGUAGCGGUGAAAUGCUUAGAUAUGACAUAGAACACCAAUUGCGAAGGCAGCUCGCUACACGAAGAUUGACUCUGAGGCACGAAAGCGUGGGAUCAAACAGGAUU
This 253-nucleotide ribosomal RNA is filed under the name uncultured bacterium. RNAcentral describes it as "partial 16S ribosomal RNA". It matches the Rfam family "Bacterial small subunit ribosomal RNA", at positions 526 to 779 of the family's 1533-position model. The record is from RNAcentral.